GACGUAGGGGGCGAGCGUUGUCCGGAUUUAUUGGGCGUAAAGCGCGCGUAGGCGGCUGCGCAAGUCGGUUGUGAAACCCCGGGGCUCAACCCCGGAACUGCAUCCGAUACUGCGUGGCUAGAGGUAGGUAGGGGAGAUCGGAAUUCCUGGUGUAGCGGUGAAAUGCGCAGAUAUCAGGAGGAACACCGGUGGCGAAGGCGGCGCUCUGGGCCGGUACUGACACUGAGGAGCGAAAGCGUGGGUAGCAAACGGG
RNAcentral lists this ribosomal RNA (253 nucleotides) under uncultured bacterium. RNAcentral describes it as "partial 16S ribosomal RNA". It matches the Rfam family "Bacterial small subunit ribosomal RNA", at positions 524 to 776 of the family's 1533-position model. The record is from RNAcentral.